This 502-nucleotide ribosomal RNA is filed under the name uncultured bacterium. RNAcentral's name for it is "partial 16S ribosomal RNA". It matches the Rfam family "Bacterial small subunit ribosomal RNA", at positions 30 to 523 of the family's 1533-position model. The record is from RNAcentral.
AUCGAACGCUGGCGGUAUGCUUAACACAUGCAAGUCGAACGGCAGCACAGUAUGUAGCAAUACAUAUGGGUGGCGAGUGGCGGACGGGUGAGUAACGCGUAGGAAUCUACCCUAAAGCGGGGGACAACCCGAGGAAACUCGGGCUAAUACCGCAUAAUCUCGAAAGAGUAAAGCUGGGGCAACCUGGCACUUUAGGAGGAGCCUGCGUCCGAUUAGCUAGUUGGUGAGGUAAAGGCUCACCAAGGCGAUGAUCGGUAGCUGGUCUGAGAGGAUGGUCAGCCACACUGGGACUGAGACACGGCCCAGACUCCUACGGGAGGCAGCAGUGGGGAAUAUUGGACAAUGGGGGCAACCCUGAUCCAGCAAUACCGCGUGUGUGAAGAAGGCCUUAGGGUUGUAAAGCACUUUAGUUGGGGAAGAAGGAUAGUUGUUUAAGAGAUGAUUAUUUUGACGGUACCCAAAGAAUAAGCACCGGCUAACUCUGUGCCAGCCGCCGCAGUAA